This 550-nucleotide long non-coding RNA is filed under the name Homo sapiens (human). RNAcentral describes it as "uncharacterized LOC105371995 (LOC105371995)". The record is from RNAcentral. Lineage: Eukaryota; Metazoa; Chordata; Mammalia; Primates; Hominidae.
AGUAAUCUGCAAAAGACAUAGUGACGAGACAGCAUCUCUUAGCAUCUGGGUCAAGAAAACUUGUACUUUAUUCCUCAAUUGGACUUCCAGGUACUGUCUAGAAGGGGUCCAGUAGAACCAGAAGAGUUUUCUCAGAGAGGAAGCAACAUUUUACAACUGAAUCUACACUACAUAUACAGAAGAGUCCAAAGUUGGAAACCUAAGCAAUCCAAGAAAUCGCUGUCCCUACAGAAGUUAAACAAUAGGAUACUUUCUCUCCUGCUUUAAUAAAUGGUUGUUAUCUUGCUCUGAAGAUAAUUGAAGCAGUGGACAUCUCAUAUCCUUUUCUACUUAUUGGGCUAGAGUCAGAGUCACCCUGACUCUGACUUAUUUUUUAAUUGAUAAGCUCUUCAAGUCAGAGAGAACUUGGUGCAACUCCAGGCUCUCCUAAUUAUUUAUGGAAAUAAAUAAAUAUGGACAAGUCCAUUACUAAGUCUGUAAAAUCGAGAAAAUAUGAUAAACCAUGCAUGAUUAUAUUGAGUAUUUAAUAAAGGAUCUUUGGUACCAGGCA